This 1025-nucleotide ribosomal RNA is filed under the name Lophiotrema hydei. Its description in RNAcentral is "SSU rRNA". It matches the Rfam family "Eukaryotic small subunit ribosomal RNA", at positions 71 to 1103 of the family's 1831-position model. Lineage: Eukaryota; Fungi; Ascomycota; Dothideomycetes; Pleosporales; Lophiotremataceae. The record is from RNAcentral.
GCAUUAUACCGUGAAACUGCGAAUGGCUCAUUAAAUCAGUUAUCGUUUAUUUGAUAGUACCUUACUACUUGGAUAACCGUGGUAAUUCUAGAGCUAAUACAUGCUAAAAACCCCGACUUCGGGAGGGGUGUAUUUAUUAGAUAAAAAACCAAUGCCCUUCGGGGCUCUUUGGUGAUUCAUGAUAACUUAACGGAUCGCAUGGCCUUGCGCUGGCGACGGUUCAUUCAAAUUUCUGCCCUAUCAACUUUCGAUGGUAAGGUAUUGGCUUACCAUGGUUUCAACGGGUAACGGGGAAUUAGGGUUCGAUUCCGGAGAGGGAGCCUGAGAAACGGCUACCACAUCCAAGGAAGGCAGCAGGCGCGCAAAUUACCCAAUCCCGACUCGGGGAGGUAGUGACAAUAAAUACUGAUACAGGGCUCUUUUGGGUCUUGUAAUCGGAAUGAGUACAAUUUAAACCCCUUAACGAGGAACAAUUGGAGGGCAAGUCUGGUGCCAGCAGCCGCGGUAAUUCCAGCUCCAAUAGCGUAUAUUAAAGUUGUUGCAGUUAAAAAGCUCGUAGUUGAACCUUGGGCCUGGCUGGCCGGUCCGCCUCACCGCGUGUACUGGUCCGGCCGGGCCUUUCCUUCUGGAGAGCCGCAUGCCCUUCACUGGGUGUGUCGGGGAACCAGGACUUUUACUUUGAAAAAAUUAGAGUGUUCAAAGCAGGCCUUUGCUCGAAUACGUUAGCAUGGAAUAAUAGAAUAGGACGUGCGGUCCUAUUUUGUUGGUUUCUAGGACCGCCGUAAUGAUUAAUAGGGAUAGUCGGGGGCAUCAGUAUUCAAUUGUCAGAGGUGAAAUUCUUGGAUUUAUUGAAGACUAACUACUGCGAAAGCAUUUGCCAAGGAUGUUUUCAUUAAUCAGUGAACGAAAGUUAGGGGAUCGAAGACGAUCAGAUACCGUCGUAGUCUUAACCGUAAACUAUGCCGACUAGGGAUCGGGCGAUGUUUCUAUCUUGACUCGCUCGGCACCUUACGAGAAAUCAUAAG